This 37059-nucleotide long non-coding RNA is filed under the name Durio zibethinus. RNAcentral's name for it is "long non-coding RNA (DZIB_LNC001557)". The record is from RNAcentral. Lineage: Eukaryota; Viridiplantae; Streptophyta; Magnoliopsida; Malvales; Malvaceae.
UUUCCACCAGAAACCAGUUUUUUUUUUUUGCAAGCAUGUCCUGUAAGAUUUCCCCUGUUCUUUCUUUACUUGUCCUGCUACUAUCACUUUCACUACUCUUGCCUCCAACUUCAACCAGAAGCACUGACUUUGGUAAGUGUUACCUAUGUAAUGUAAGUUAUAACAAAAAGGAAAAAUUAAAAAUAAAAAAACAACUAUCAUUGUACAGUAACCUUCUUCUAAGUUUUGGAUUUUAAUCUAUUGUUCAGUACUUUGUUUUCCGUUUUCGGGUUGAUUGCAGGAAAGAAGGUCAAUGAAGAGAUUCAGAGAAAUCUAAUAGAAGGGAAAGGACCAAUUUGUCGUGUUCAUGCAGGAAGCGGUUAUCUCCCUAUAGAGUGUCCUCCUUUUCAUGCCAAUAGCGAGAAGAAGAAAUUUACUGGGGCAACAAAGGGUCAUAACUAGCUGUUACAAAACAAAGCCUUGCUAUGUGAGUAAUAAUUCUCUAAAAUUAAGUAGCAGAUAUACAAGAAAUAAAGAGAUUAAGUAAGGAUAUACUAUAAGUGUUCCUAAAUACAUAGCCUGAGACAUAACUCUAUCCCUACUCUAUUUUUUCUUCUCUCACCUAUCGAAUUAAACACUAGUAAAAAUAUUUUUUGUUUCUUCUUUUCCCCUUCCAUUCUCGCACUUUAAUCUUUGUACAAAAGGGAAGCCUCAAUUUCUAACUUACAGGUUACCACUCAAUCUAGUGGGCUUGCAAUUUCAAUGAACUCAGUGUUUCUAUCUUAAUUUGUUCACUUAAAGAUGGCUAAUGUAUUCUACAGCAUAAUUGUGAUUAUGAUUAUUUAUAAUGACGAUUCCUCAAAAACUUAGAAGUUGCUAGAAUGAUGAAGAUUAUACAGGUUCCUUUUCUUUUUUUUUUUCUUUUAACAGGAUAAUUGAAGACCAUAUAGAUUCGAUCAAAAGAAUUUUACACGCAGUUUGUGAUGCUCUUUGCACAUGUUACAGAUUUUAUAGGGGUAUAUGAUAUUAUAUAUGUACUGCUGAGACCACUAACCUACUGGCCUUGAACAAUGGAACUUGUGAAUUUUUGCCUUCAACUUAAAAGCCAUUAGUGAAUGCUUGCUCCUGUCAACUUUCUUUGUGCCAAAGUACGAAGCAACUCGUAAUCCUGCAUAUUUCGAGCAUUAGAAGUGUUGAAACAAGCACAAACAGACAAUUUCAUUUCAUCGUCCUAUUGUAUCGACUCAUUGCCACCUUUACAGGACUCCUGGCAUGGUGUAUAGCAACAAGUUCGGCAUCUAAGACAACUAGUAAUUGAACUUUAUGCGGGAAAAAAGUGAAACUUAUGCCGGUUCAGUUAUAGCAACAUGGCAGAGCAAAAUAAUGCAAAAAGUACCUGUACAAUAGACUGUGCACAAAGCUUCCCUGAGAGAACAGCACAUUCCAUUGAAGCUAAAUACUUUUGCUUUGUGUACAAGGGGCGGCGGGGUUCACAAUUUGGAACAGUUUUAUAUACAGAUCUGAAAUGAUAAUUAGCUUUUAGUUUCCGUAGGAAUCUAGUGACCAAGGUUCAAAUGUAAAUUGAUUUAAGGCCUGCAAUCCAUUUAAAAUAGGCGUACAGUUCCAAGUAUAGAUACAUGCAUUCAUGCAUGUAUGUGCAAACAUAUGUAUGUAAUGGUACUGAAAUCCUGUUUAGAGAUUGACUGAAAGUUUGUCCAAGGUAGCAUUAAAAGAUUCCCUUAAAAAUUUGAAAUAAAUAUUUAUAUUACAUGUUUCUAGCUCAAUUAUACUCUUUGAUGCAUCACUAUCAUUUAUCUAUUUCUAUUUAUAUAUAAAAAUAGAAACUCUAAAAGUUUUAAAGGUGAUCAAUCUAAAUAUAUGUAUUAAUUUUUAAAUUAAUAAAUUUAUUCUUAAAUAUAUAGAUUUUAUUAAUUUAUUUUUAAAUUUAAUUUAAAUAAACUAAAAUUAAAAAUAGAGUUUUUGUGAAAUUUAGCUACUUAAAAUUUUUUUAAUAGAGAUUCAAUUUAUUCUAUAUUGGAACUUUUUUUUAAAAAAUUUUUGUUAUAUUUAUUUGCUUUGAACUUAAAUUGACAUUUUCAAUUUAAUUUAUUAUCAUGAUAAUUAUUUCAAUUUUAAUUUCUAUAAAAAUACUAAAAUGAUUUCAUUAUACUCUAAUUAAAAUCUGGCUAACAACCACGUGCAUAAUAAGUAUAAAAAAAAUCUGGUUAAUAAUCACGUGCAUAAUAAGUAUUAAAAAACUAAGUACAUUUACUCUGUUUGAGCCUCUAGAACUUUAGAAUAGGAUGGCAUUUUCCGAAGCUUGGGCAUUUGGUUACAAAAUUGCCCUUCUCUCUCACAGACUUACCAUGGCUUCCAUGUCUACUGUUCUCUUACUCCUAAGUUUUGUAUGUUUAGCCAAAAGAAGAGUUUAACAAGAGCAAUCUAGCCCUAUAACGCCAUUCUCUACCUUUUUCUCCGAUGCAUAUGCCUCAUCAUGGCCUUCCACUUCUGAUCGAUUUGUAUUUGGUUUUUACUAGCAAGAUAAUGGCUUUGGCGUUGGGAUUUAAUUACUUUGCUAAAAGACAUAAAACGGUUGUGUGGAUAGCAAAUCAUGACGAUCAACCACCAUUAUUUACCUCUAAAACAACUCUAAAGUUUACUGAGGAUUGAUGGAAUUCUUUAUACUAGCCCAAAUGAGGUAAAAAGGGAUUUUCUUUUAAGGAAUGAAAUUAUGAAUACUUUUUAAGUUGUUUAUAUUUAAAUUUUUUUAUAUUUUUCUUUAUUUUGUAAAUUAUAUUAUUUAGCAUCUAUUAUAGUUUCUUUCUUGAUAUACGCAAAUCAAUGAGAAAAUAACAGUAAAUAAUUGAUAACUUCGUAAUUAAUUAUUAAAAACUUAAAAAUAAAUCAAUGUAAUUUAGUAGUUAUGAUCGAUAACUAAAUAGUUAAUCAAUUAUAAUUUAAUAAUAAAAUAUUGAUAACUUAAUAAUAAAUAAAUGAUAAUUUAGUAGUCAAUAAUUGAUAACUUAGUAAUAAAUUGGUGAUACAUAAUAAUAAAUGUAUAAUAACUUAGUAGUAAAUCAAUUAUAAUAUUAUAGUUAUAAAUACAUAACAACAUAAUAGUAAAUUAAGGAUAACUUAAUAAAAAAGUGAUAAUUUAGUAGUUAAUCAUUGAUAACUUAGUAAUAAAUCAAUAAUAACUUAAUAAUAUAUCAAUGAUAACUUAAUAGUAAAUCAGUUUAAUAGUAAUUAAUUAAUAAAGUUAGUAGUAAAUCACAAAUAACUUCAUAUAUAGUAAUUCAAUAAUAACUUAUUGAAAAAUAAUUGAUAAUUUAGUAUUUAAUAAUUUGAAACUUAAAAGUAACUGAUAGUAAAUCAAUGAUAAUUUUGAAAUAAAUAAUUAAAAUUUAAUGGUAAAUAAAUGAUAACUUUGUGGUAAAUGUAUAGUAAUAUAAUAGUAAAUUACUAAUAAGUUAGUAGUAAAUUAUUGAUAACUUAAUAGUAAAUCACUAAUAACUUAGUUGUAAAUCAGUUAUAAUUUAGUUGUAAAUCAAUUAAUCAUUGAUAACAUUAUAGUAAAUUAUUGAUAAAUUAGUAGUAAAUCUGUUAUAAUUUUAAUAUAAUCAUUAGUAACUUAGUAGUAAAUCUUUGUAGAUUAGUGAUAAGAUCAUUUAUAAAUCGAUAAUUAGUAGUAAAUUCGUUAUAAUUUUAUAAUUAAAUCAUUAGUAACUUAGUAGUUAAUCAUUUAUAGAUUAAUGAUAAAUCAUUUAUAAAUUAGUAAUAAUCAAUGAUAAUUUAGUAACAAAUUGUUAUAAUUUAAUAGUAAAUCAUUGAUAACUAUAGUAAUCAUUUAAUAACAUGGCAGUAAUAAAUGAAAAUAAAAUUCAAUUAUUGAUAACUUUUUUAUAUUUACAAUUGUUAGGGAUUGAAUUCUAAUUAUUAGCAACAAUGAAGCUAGAUCUUUCAUCUUAGAGGUAAGAAUAAACCUACUAUGAAUCUAUUCAAUAAAAAUUUUUAAAUUUGAAUAAAGUAAUAAUGUUAUUAUAUAAAAAUAAAUUUAUCUCAUCUAUUGUUAGUGUACUUUUUAAACUCCAUAUUUCAUAGUUGUAAAUCCAUAAUAACAUAGUAGAAAAUCAGGGAUAAUUUAAUAAAAAAUAAGUGAUAGUUUAGUAGUUAAUAAAAAUAAAUAGAAGCAUCAAUAGAAGAUUAUCUUAUGGAAAAUAAAAAAUCAAUUGAUUACGAAUAGCUUUAUCAAUAACUUAAUAGUUAACUAGUGAUAACUUAAUAGUAAAUCAUAGAUAACUUAGUAGUAAACUAGUACUUAAUAAUAAAUGAAUGAUAAUUUUGUAGUCAAUAAUUAAUAACUUAAUAGUAAAUCAGUAAUAAUAUAAUAGUAAAUGCAUAAUAACAUAGUAAUAAAUCAAUUAUAAUAUAGUUGUAAAUGCAUAACUACAUAAUAGUAAAUCAAGGAUAACUUUUUAAAAAUUAGUAAUAAUUUAGUAGUUUAUCAUUAAUUUAGUAAUAAAUCAAUGAUAACUUAAUAGUAAAUAAAUUUUGGUUUAAUAGUAACUAAUUUGAUAGUAGUAAAUUAUAAAUAAUUUAGUGGUAAAUAAAUGAUAAUUUGGUAUAAAUAAUUGAUAAUUUAAUAGUUAAUCAUUGAAAACUUAAAAAUAAAUCAGUAUAGCUCAAUAGCAAAUUAUCGAUAACUAACUUAAUAUUUAAUAAAUGAUAACUUAAUAAUAAAUUAUAGAUAAUUUAUCACAAAUUAGUAGUAACCUGGUAGUGAACAACAGAUAAUUUAGUAGUAAAUUGGUAAUAAUUUUGUAUUAAAUAAUCAAAAAUUAAGUAGUAAAUUCAUGAUAAUAUAAUAGUAAAUUAUAUAAUAUAAUACUAAAUUAUUAAUAACUUAAUAAUAAAUCAAUAAUAAUGAAGUAGUAAGUUACUAAUAAUUUAGUUGUAAAUCAGUGAUAAUUUAAUAGUAAAUUAGUUAAUCAUUGGUAACUUUGUAAUAAAUUAUCGAUAAAUUAGUAGCAAAUAACUUAUAACUUUAUAGUAAAUUAUUAAUAAUUCAGUGGUAACUAUUCAAUAAUUUAAUAGUAAAUCAUUCAUAACAUAAUGAUUAAUCAUUUGUAAAUUAGUAUAAAAAUUAUUGAUAGCUUAAAAUAAAUUAUUGACAACAUAAUAAUAAAUCCAUAUAACUUAAAUGUAAAUUAUUAAUCUUUUUUUAUACCUUAUGUUGUUAGGGAUUGAAUCUUGGUUACUAAUAGAAACAAAACCAGAAUUUUCAUCUUGGGGACUUGGAUAAAUCUACGUGAACCUACUUAAUAAAAAAUUAGUAAAAAAAUUAAAUUUGAACAAAGUAAUAAUGUUAUUAUAUAAGAAGAAAGGAAAAUUAUCUCAUAUAUUGUUAGUGGACUUUUAAAACUCUAUAUUUUAUAGUUGUAUAUGCAUAAAAACAUAUUAAUAAAUUAAGGAUAGCUUAAUAAAAAAUAAAUGACAACUUAGUAGUUAAUUAUUGAUUGCUUAGUAAUAAAUCAAUAAUAACUUCAUAGUAAAUUAUUGACAACUUAAUAAUAAAUAAGUUUUAGUUUAAUAAUAAAUAAUUGAUAAAUUUAGUAGUAAAUCAUAACAAGUUAAUAGUAAAUCAAUGAUAAUUUAAUAGUUAAUAAUUGAAAAUUUAAAAGUAAAUGAAUAUAACUUAGUAAUAAAUAAUCGAUAACUUGAUAGUUAAUUAGUGAUAAUUAGUUAAUAGUAAAUCAUGGAUAAUUUAAUAUAAAUUAAUAAUAACCUGGUAGUGAAUUAUAUUAAAUGUCUAAGUAGUAAAAUUUGAAAACUAAGUAAUAAAAUUAAUGAUAACUUGGUAGUGAAUUAUAUUAAAUCAAUGAUAACAUUGUAUUAAAUGUCUAACAAUAUAUUAGUAAAUCAUUAAAAAUUUAGUAGUAAAUUAACAGUGACUUAGUAUUUAAUCACUUAUAACAUUACAAUAAAUCACUAAUAAGUUAAUUGUAAAUCAGUGAUAAUUUAAUAAUAAAUUACUUAAUCAUUUAUAACUUUGUAAUAAAUCAUUGUGAAAUUAGUAGUAAACUAAUCAUAACUUUAUAAUAAAUCAUUAAUAAUUUAGUAUUAAUUUAGCAAAAUUUUAGUAGUAGAUUAUUAAUAAAUUAGUAGUAAAAUAAGUGAUAAUUUAAUAGUAAAAUAUUAAUAAUUUAAUAGUAAAUCAUUUAUAUAUUAGUAAUAAAUCACUGAUAACAUAAUAAUAAAUCAAUAAUAACUUAGUUGUCAAUUAUAUAUAACUUUUUUAUAUUUAAAGUUGUUAGGGAUUAAACAUUGGUUAUUAGCUGAAAUGAAAAUAGCUUCAUCUUUGAAGGUUAGGAUAAACCUAUCAUAAACUUAUUAAAUAAAAAAUUUUAGUAAAAAAAAAUUAAAGAUUUUAAUGAAGCGAUAAUAUUAUUAUAUAAAAAAAAUCUUGUACUAUAAUUAAACCAGCACUUUGCUGCGGCAAUCCAUUGUUAGAUAAAUAAUGGUACAAAUUUUAUCGAUGAUUACCAUAGUAUAUCAUAAGUUACUAAAAUUACAUCAAUAGAUUAUCAAAAUUUUAUCAAAAAUUACCAAAUUGUAUGAAUGAUUGCAAAAAUUAUAUCAUAAGUUUACCAAAUUGUAUCAAUGAUUGCAAAAGUUAUAUCAUAAGUCACCAAACUAAUAUCAAAGGUUAUCAAAAUUGUAUCAAAUAUUACCAAAAGUUUAUCAAAGGUUAUCAAACUUUUAACAAAGUUACCAAAAUAUAUCAAAGAUAAUUAAAAUCAAAACUAUAUCAAAAGUUAUCAAAUUUUACUUCUAUUCUACUAAAAUCAAAAUUAAUUUAUUAGGUUUUAUUAUUAUUAUUAUCAUUAUUAUUAUUAUCAUCAUCAUCAUCAUCAUCAUCAUCAUCAUCAUCAUAAUAUCUAAAAGUAUUUAUUGAACUAAAUUUUUCAUGAUAAAAAUUACAUAUCCGUUACGCACAAGCUAAAGACUAGUACAAAUAAAAGGGGAAGCCAUCCCAGCCAUGUAUUUUUCAGCCACGACAUAAUAAUGCAAGCAAUGACUAGAACUUGAUUUAAAAAAAGAAGUAUUGACAGAGAUUCUAAAAGAAUGCACUCAGUCUAACCUUGGUGUUUUAACAAUAUGGUACUUUACGACAUUUGCUUUGGUCUGACCUGCAGAAAUUUCAUCAGGAAAGAGCUUUGCAAGUUCCUUCAUUGUUGCAUCAAUAAUUUCUGAGUCAAUUCGUGUAAUCCAUUCUUCUGCAGAGGCAAAAACUAACUCCAACGUGGAUUGUUUGGAUUGUAAUAUUCCUGCAUAAAAACAAUAAUCAUUAAUUAGUGGUCACAUGCACGAAUGAGGAGACAAGAAGUUAAUCAGUUAGCCUCUUUUUGUAUAAAAAAAAUUUAUUAAAAAGGGGGGGGGGACGGUAAUGUCUCUGCACCUAUUAUUUUAUUCUUUUAUAUUAAAAACGAAACCCGCACUUUGCUGUGAAAAUCAAUUAUUAGAUGUAUGAUGGCACAAAGUUUAUCAAUAAUUAUUAAAAGUAUAUUAUAAAUUACUAAAAUUAUAUUAAAGGUUAAUUACUAAAAUUACAUUAAGAGGUUAUCAACAUUUUAUAAAAAAAUAUAUUAUCAAUUUUUUUUAAUGGGUAAAAAAAUUAUAUCAUAAGUUACCAAAAUAAUAUUGAAAAUUAUCAACUAUGUAUCAAAAGUUACUAGAAUUUUAUUAAAAAUUAACAAACUUUUAACAAAGGUUAACAAAACAUAUCAAAAGUUAUCAAAAUCAAAAUUAUAUCAAGUAUUAUCAAAUUUUACUUAUAUAUACUAAUAUAAAAAAUAAACUGUUAGAAUUUAUUAUUAUUAUUAUUAUAAAAAAAAUUUAUUAAAUUAAAUUUUAAAAAAAAUUACAUAAACAUUACGUACGUGUCAAAAAUUAAUAUAUAUAUGUAUAUAUAUAAGUUUGAAAGAAAUUUCUUAGCUCUUGCCCUCAAAUUUUGCACUAUCACAUCACUAAAAGCAGUAACAUCGUUCAUAGAAAGAGAAACAUAUACAAUUAAUAAAGCUGGAAACUUUAGCACAUGCUGAUUUUCAAAUUUUGAGUAGUGGAUAAUAUGUGUAAGUUGUAUGCUUGUGAUAAAAUGUUCAGCCUGCCAAUCUUGAAUAAUUACAAGUACUAUAUUUUAUUGCCUCUUAAUUAUGUGUAGAUUUAUUAAUUUAAAAUAUGAUACAGUGAUACAAUAAAAAAACGAUAAGAAAAAAUUAUGAAUGUAACAUGAUUUAAAAUUUUAGUAAAACUAUAUAAGAAUUUAACAAAAUAAAAAAUGUAUUUCAUAUUUUCAUUUUGAUACGAAUUUUUAUACGUAAUUUUUAUUAUUACCAAAUCUAACUAUAUUUGGUAAACAUAAAUAGAAAAUGAUGUAAGACUAAAUCAAUCCAAGGAGAUAGAAAGCACAUGAUGUCACAAGGCUCAAAGGGAGAGUUUGAGAUUUAAUUUGAUUCAUGUAAUCAUCUAUAAAACAUUGCAUUUAAUAAAUAUGAAUUCAAAAUCUCAACACCUUCAAUUUUUUUUUCAAUCCCCAAAUUAACGCCUUACAAAGAAAUCUCUUAGGUGUUGCACUCCCAUUUUGCAAUUUCACACCAACCAAAGGCACUAACAUUGUUCAUAUAAAGAGAAACAUACAGAACUAAUAAAGAUGGAAACUUUAGCACAUGCUUUUCAAUUUUUAAUAGUGGAUAAUAUUUUUAAUUUGCAUGCUUGUGAAAUAUUCAGCCCACCAAUCUUGAAUAAUUACAAGUACUAUAUUUUAUUGCCUCUUAAUUAUGUGUAGAUUUAUCGAUUUAAAACAUGAUACAGUGACAUAAUAAAAAAAAACAGUAAGAAAAAAUUACAAAGGUAACAUGGUUUAAAAUUUUAGUAAAACUAUAUAUGAAUUUAAUAAAAUAAAAAAUGUAUUUCAUAUUUUUAUUUUAAUACGAAUUCUAACAUGCCAUUUUUGUGAUUGCCAGAUCUAACUGUAUUUGGUGAAAAUAAAUAGAAAAUGAUGUAAUACUAAAUCAAUCCAAAGUGAUAAAAAGCACAUGAUGCCACAAGGCUCACAGAGAGAGUUUGAGAUUUAAUUCUGUUGAUUCAUAUAAUCAUCUAUAAAACAUUACAUUUAAUAAAUAUGAAUUCAAAUCUCAAUACUUUCAUUUUUUUUUCAAUUCCCAAAUCGAUGCCUUACAAGGGAAUUUCUUAGGUGUUGCGCUCCCAUUUUGUAAUUCACACCAACUAAAGGCACUAACAUUGUUCAUAUUAAGAGAUACAUUUAGAAGUAAUAAAGAUGGAAACUUUAGCUCAUGCUUUUCAAUUUUUAAUAGUGGAUAAUAUAUAUAAUUAGCAUGCCUGUGAUAAAAUAUUCAGCCCACCAAUCUUGAAUAAUUACGACUAAUGUGGCUAUAUGUUAUUGCCCCUUAAUUUACUAUGUGUUUGGUGAAAAAAAAAAAAGAAAGGAGUAAUACCGGAUCAAUGACACAAGGCUCAAAUAGGCAAAGAUACUGCUAAUAUUGCAACGAGUCUUACAUGUGUGUCUGAUUCUAUAUAGCUAGCUUGAUGGCAAGCUAAAUUACAAAAGCGAUUAUGAACGGACAUUGGUUUCAAUGAUAAGAUAGUUUUUUUUUUCUUUUUUUUUUUUUUAUUUGAAUCUGUUGAAAGAUUAUAAAAAAAAUUUAUCAUGAAUUUACUAAUCCAGACAUAUAUAAACCUGUUGCAUUGGUAUUUAUACGAUUAGUUGUUAGAAUAUUAUAUUUAUAUAUAUAUAUAUAUGGAUGAAAUCUUUUGUGUGUAUUUUUAUCGAAGUAUAAGUGACAAAUUUUUUUUUUUUAUAUUUAGCAUGGUAUUGACGGAUUGAUGGAUUUGAAACAAAUCGAAAAGAUUACAAAUGAAAGUAUUGAGCUUUUUUACACAGUAAAUAAAAACAAAACAUUACGAAAACAUUAAAAUGAUGACUAAUAUGCAAUUUACUCAUAAUACAUCAAGCAAUGACUAGAACUUGAUUUAAAAAAAAAAAAGUAUUAACAGAGAUUCUAAAUGAAUGCGCUCAGUCUAAACCUGGUGUUUUAACAAUAUGGUACUUUACGACUUUUGCUUUGCUCCGAUCUGCAGAAAUUUCAUCAGGAAAGAGUUUUUCAAGUUUCUUCAUUGUAGCAUCAAUAAUUUCUUACUCACUUCGUGCAAUCCAUUCUUCUGCAGGGGCAAAAACUAUUGCAAUCUCACAGAGAAAUUUCUUGCAGGGAAAUUUCUUAGGUGUUGCGCUCCCAUUUUGCAAUUUCACGCCACCAAAGGCACUAACAUUGUUCAUAUUAAGAGAAACAUAUAGAACUAAUAAAGAUGGAAAGUUUAGCACAUGCUUUUCAACUUUUAAUAGAGGUUAACGCAUAUAAUUUGCAUGCUUGUGAUAAAACAUUCAGCCUACAAUCUUGAAUAAUUACAAGUAAUGUUGCUAUAUGUUAUUGCCCCCUAAUUAACUAUGUGUUUGGUAAAAAGAAAAUAAAAAAAAAAUGUAAUAUUAUAUCAAUCUGUGGAGAUAAAAGCGCAUGAUGACAAAAGGCUCAAACAGGCAAAGAUACAGCUAAUAUUGCAACGAGUCUCCCAUGUGUCUGAUUCUAUAUAUAGCUAGCUUAUUGGCAAGUUAAAUUACAAAAGAGAUUAUAAGCUGACAUUGGUUUAAAUGAUAAGAUAGUUUGUUAUUUUCUUAAUUGGUUAAAUUUGAAUCUGUUGAAAGAUUAUAAAAAAUAAGUAAUCAUGAAUUUACUAAUCCCGACAUAUAUAAACCUAUUGAAUCGGUAUUUAUUAUGAUAUAUUGUUAGAAUAUAUGGAUGAAACUUUUGUGUCUAUUUUGUUUGAAGUAUCAUGUGACAAAUUUUGUUCAUAUUUUAGCAUGGUAUUGAUUCAACGAAAUUUCUUAGCUCUGGCGCCCCAGUUUCCUACACUUGACCCCCCACCAAAGCACUAACCAUGUUUAGGGAAAAAAAAACAUCUCUAUCAAUUACAAAACCUUUGACAUGGAUGCACUGAUGUUUUGUCAAAAUUGAAUUAUAACACGAAUAUAGAUAUUAAAAUUUUAUGAUAACUAAAUUUCAAAUUUAAUUCAAUUAUUUAUACAAUUAUUUUUAAGAAUUAAUUAAUAAAUUUAUAUUUAAAUUUUAGUAUCCGUAAUUUUUUUUCUUAUCUUCAUAUUUUUUCAUGUUAAAAAUUUAUAAUUUCUUUCCAUUAAGAUCUUAGCUUUUGAUGCAUGGGAAUAGAGUUUUUUUAGGGGUUUAAAAAUAUUAUUAUAUUUUUAUUAUUAUUUUUUAUUUUUUCUUUGUAAUUAAAAAAAAAUUGAUGUAACAAAUCAAGUAAUAUCAAUCCAGUAAAAUAAAUUGACCAAAAUAUCAAAUAAAAUUAUCAUAAAAUAUUUAAAAUUAAGGAGGCAUUAAUCUAUUUAGUUCUUUAAAAAAAAAAACUAUCCAUUAAAAAAAAAAAGGGUAUCCAUUUCAUUUUUCGAAAGAAAACUCUUUUCAACUUUAAUAGUGGGAGAUAGAUUGAUAUAAGGGAAAGACUUAAACGAAAUUAAUAUUUAAUUUAUAAUAUUAUAAUAAAUUAUAAAAAUAAAAUGGUUGAAACAAAAUUAAUAUUUAUUUUUAUAUUAAAUUAUUAUGAAUUUUUAUUCAUUUUUAUUAAUUUGUAAUAUUAUAAUAAAUUAUAAAAAUAAAAUAAUUUUUUGAACUUAUUGCUUUCAUAUUCUUUGAAUUAACCAAAAAUAUUAAUAUUAAUAAUACAUUCUAAUCAAUCAAACUAAUAAUACUUAUUCCAUUCUCCCAAAAUAUAAAGUCCAUUUUUCCUAUAUUACAUUCCGCGGACCGAAAGUAUGGUUAAUGCUUUGGUCAAAUGUAGAAAACUGGGGCUUUUGAGUGGGGUCAAAUGUAGAAACUGGGCCGCAAAAGCCGAUGAAUUUCUUUAACCUUUGAGCCUACGCCGGGCUUUAUCUAUUUGACUUAACCGGCCAGCAAAAUCUUCAUCAAUAUCCCUGAUAGAAAGAAAUAACGAUCGAAGGUAGAAGAAAUUAAGAGAGAAUGGACGUUUAUUUCAUCCCGCUACUAUGGCUUAUUCAAGCAGCAGCAUCGCAAGAAGCAUACGAGUCUGUUUGUGAUGAAACAUGUGGGGAUGUUUAUAUUCCAUCCCCAUUUGGAAUAAGAACUGGUUGCUAUAAAAAUUCGUGGUUUAGAGUAACUUGCAACACAACCGCUAAUAGGCUAAAGCCUUUCAUCAGUCGCAUCAAUUUGGAGCUUCUCGGUUCCUCUUGGUCAGAUAGCAGCGUCACCGUCAACAAUCCUGUAACUUAUCUCAAUUGCAGCAAUAAAGGAAACAAUGGCACGACUCAUCGUGCUAGUGUCAACCUAAAAGGCAGUCCAUUUUUCUUCUCAAGUAGAUUCAACGUAUUCGGUUCAGCAGGUUGCGGCAAAUUGGCCACUGUUUCUCGCGAAAUUCAAACUGAUCCCCUCGCUAGCUGCGUACAACAGCGAUGUGACCACCAGGCUUCUAAAUUAGGUGGCUGCUAUGCCGUAAUUCCUGAAAAUCUCACUUCAUACACUGCAACCGUGACAGAGAUCAUUAAUCCUGGGAAGCAAGAAUACAGCAAGAGAUGCACAUCUGCUUUCAUGUUUGACCCAAGGUCGAUGACCUCAACGUAUCAAGAUCCUCAAUUUCCCGACAGCAUAAGCAUUGAUACGACGCAUGUUCGUGCAACGCUGGAGUGGAACCCCGUCGAUUGCGAUUUGGGAGGUUGGCAUUAAUCGUGAUCACUUUACUAUUGCUUUCUUAUUUUAUUAAAUUAAAAUGAGAAAUAAUUAGAUAAUUUUUUUUGGGUAAACCUUAUAUACAUCGUAGGUGAUUUGCUACUUUUCUAUUUACAGUGUUUGUGGAAUUUUUUUACUUUUAAAUUACAAUUUUGGGGUUUGUUUUACUAUAAAAAAAAUAAAUAUGUAAAAAAUAAAAAUACGGAUAAUUUUAAAUUUUCAUUAGAAUUUAAUUAAUUUUUUUUAUCGUUAUGUCCUUUUUAACAACGAAAGUAAAUUUCAAAAUUAUAAAUAAAAAACAUAAAUUAGAAAGUGGCACAUCACAGAAAAUGUGAGACAAACUACAUGAGAUACAUACAUGCAGGGUUUACCCAGUUUUUUUUUUUUUUUAAUCGUAUCAGCUUUAGCCUUGUGAAAAAAAAUAUAAAACAAAAUAAAAAAAACUGACUACUAGGAAACAGAGACAAACCACACCCACUUCUGUCUCCUGCAAAUCCAUUUGCGUUUUUUCUUCUCUUUCCUUUUUAAAUUCUUCUCAAUACUUUUCAAUAAAUUUUUAAAUUUUAAGCACGAUCUAAGUUAUUUUAUCAAUAAGGCUGCUUUUAGAUUUAAUCGGGUGCCAUUGCAUUGGAAGAUUGUGCUAAUUACGUUGUAUAAUGUGAAAAUUUGCAUUUGGUUUUAAUUGGACAGUGUCAUUGACGUCGAUUUUUCACUAGUCGUUGUUAGUCUAAUGUUUUAUCGAAGAUUCAUUUGGUUUUUUUUUUCUUUAAUAAUUAUUAUAAAUACAAAAAUACCUUACAAUUUAUUUUUUUUACUUUGUUAAUUUUUCUUUUAUUUUUUAUUUAAAAAAUUUUUAAAAAUUUUUUUAAUUUAAUUUACUAAAAUUAUUAUUUGAUAUAUUAUUAUUUUUUAUUUUUAAUUAUUUAUUAAAAAUUAUCAUUUGUCAUAAAAAUAAUUAAUAAUUUUUAAAUUUUAUAAAUAUUAAUUAAUUUAAAUUUUUUAUUACAUAUAAUUUUUAAUGUAAUACUAUUAACAAUUAUUUUAUUUUUUCAUUAUAAUAUUAUUUUCACUAAUAAUUUUGCAUUCAAAUAUAUAUCCACUAAUUUUAAUAUUACUAUUACAUAUAUUAAUUUCAUCACUAUCACUAUUUUUAAUUUUAUCAAAAUUAAUUUGACCAUCAUCAUCAUCAUCAUUAUCAUCAUCAUUGUUAUGAUUAUUAUUAUUAUUAUUAUUAUUAUUAUUAUUAUUAUUAUUAUUAUUAUUAUUGUUAUUAAUCGGUGCUUCUGUUCUUGCUAAGCAGCCGCACGUUGCCAAGAAGUAGAACAAGUUGGCCCAGAACCUGCACAUCCCAAGCAUGUCUGUAUUGAAAGAUGUGGGAAGGUUAAUAUUACAUACCCAUUUGGAAUUAAACUCGGGUGUUACAUGAAUGAAUCGUUCAGAGUAAGCUGCAAAGAAACCGGUGAUGGGCCAAAGCCUUUCAUAAGUAGCAUCAACAUGCAACUACUUAAUGUUUCAUUUUCCCUGGGCAGAGUCAUCGUCAACAAUUCAGUAACUUAUUUCAAUUGCCGCAAUAAAAGUGAAGAUAAUAAUGGGCUUAGUGUCAACUUAACAGGCAGCCCCUUUUUCUUCUCCCAUAUUUUCAACAGAUUCGUGUCUGUAGGUUGCGGUAGUUUGGCUACUAUUCUUCGUAAUCCAACUGAUUAUCCUGUUGUUGGCUGCCUGCAACCCCGUUGUAGCAAUAUUGUGACCUCCAAUGAUAUCUGCCAUGCGAAAAUACCUCCGGGUCUCAGCUCCUUUAUUGCAAACAUGACAGAGUUUUAUCCUAGUGAUGGCAGCAGGAAAUCAUGUGGGUCUGCUUUCAUGAUCGACGUAAGUUUGUUGGAUUCACCUGGAACAAACCUCGAUCCCAGAACACUGCCAUUUGGACCCAUUCCUACAGCACUGCACUGGGUUUCGCCGAAAGAUAUACACGUUCCUACGGCACUGCAAUGGGCCAGACCAAUACGUGGGUCGUGUAAUUUGAAUGGUUCACAGACAUUUUGCAGCUCCAGUGGUCAAUAUUGUUGGGCAAGAUUGAGCGACAGCCAUCUAUGUGUUUGCAGCGUGGAUGUGAAUUCUGACAACGAUUAUUAUUAUAGUGAUGUAUGCCAAGGUAUCGUACUAAUACAAGUCUUGCUACGCCACAAAAAUAUAUAUAUUUUGUGUGGGCUCAGAUAUUGAAAAUUUACACAAUAUAAAAAAAAUUAAACUUUUAUUUGUUUUGGCAUUAUCUUAAUUAACAUAUUUUUGCAAGAACAUAACUUCAUUUAUUCAUUCCAUAAACGACAGAUAUAGGCAGUUGCGGGAAUCUUAAACACAGGUACUGUCAUAUGCUUUGUUUGAAUACCCCUGACAACUAUUGUUCGUCGCCAUGCCCUGCUACAUAUGAAUACUCAAGUGCUGAUGAUUGGUGCAUUACCAUUGAUGAUUUACCAAAUUCUACAAAGUCUUAUAAUUUACCGAUUAUUAUAGGUACGCAUUAAAAAUUUUUUUAAGUUAAUGUUACGAAUAAUCUUUGAAUUAUAAUAAAAUAUUUAAUAUGAUAUCUGAAAAAUUUUUAACGUAAUAUUUGAAUCAUGAAUCUAUUAACUAAUAUGAUAUUUGGAUAACUGUUUAUCGUCACAUAUUAUUAUUUGUAACUAAUCAUAUUAAAAAUAAAUAUCACAUUAAUUAACAGAUUCAUAAUUCAUAUAUCAAAUUCAAAAUUUUUAAAAUUCAAAUACCAUGGCAUUAAAUAUUUUACUAUAGUGUUAGAGACUAUUCUUAACAUUUUUUUUUUAUUUAAGUUUUCUUCUUGGGAGAAGUACUACGUCUUCGUUAAACAAAAGAUCCAUACUAAAAUUCCAGUACCUGAGAUAAAGCUAUAAGUGCUGAUAAAUUCACUUUCUUAAAGAUAGAAAAUAUGAAUCAUGUUGAAAUGCAUGUAUGGUUUUUCUUAAUAUAUAUUAAUUUGCAAAUUUACCUUUUGCAUAAUAAAUUAUGUUUCCUAUACAGGUUGCAGCACUAGUACUGGGACAGUACUUGUGCUACUUGGCACAUGGAAUCUGUACAAAGUACUAAAAAGGAGAAAAACCAUCAAGAUGAAGCAAAAAUACUUUAAAAGGAAUGGAGGUUUACUUCUGCAACAACAAUUGUCCAGCAAUGAAGGUAAUGUUGAAAAAAUAAGGUUGUUUACAUCGAAGGAGUUGGAAAAGGCGACAGAUUACUAUAACAAGAAUCGAAUCCUCGGUCAAGGCGGCCAAGGAACUGUUUAUAAAGGAAUGUUAACUGAUGGAAGCAUUGUGGCAAUCAAGAAGUCUAAAAUGGUGGAAGAGAAGAAAGUUGAUGAAAAGAAGCUUGAACAGUUCAUCAAUGAGGUGAUACUUUUAUCACAGAUUAACCAUAGAAAUGUGGUUAGGCUUUUAGGAUGUUGCCUGGAGACAAAGGUUCCUUUACUAGUGUAUGAGUUCAUCCCCAAUGGAACACUCUCUCAACUCAUACAUGACCAAAAUGAAGAAUUCCCAUUGACAUGGGAAAUGCGUUUUCGAAUUGCAAUUGAAAUUGCUAAUGCUUUAUCCUAUUUGCAUUCAGCUGCUUCUGCCCCUAUUUAUCAUCGAGACAUCAAAUCUAGCAACAUACUUUUGGAUGAUAAAUACAGAGCAAAAGUGUCAGAUUUUGGAAUUUCAAGAUCAAUUGCACUUGAGCAAACUCAUCUAACCACUCAAGUACAAGGAACAUUCGGAUACUUGGAUCCGGAGUAUUUUCGGUCUAGUCAAUUUACAGAGAAGAGUGAUGUUUAUAGUUUUGGGGUUGUUCUUGUUGAACUUCUGACCGGACAAAAACCCAUCUCCUCGGUACAAUCAGAGGAAGUGAGAAGCUUGGUGAACUUUUUUCUGCUUACAAUGAACGAGAAUUCCCUAUUUGACAUUCUUGAUCCAAUGGUAAGUAAUAAUGGUACAGAAAAAGAGAUUAUAGCAAUUGCAAAGCUUGCGAAGAGAAGCUUGAAUCUUAAUGGAAAGAAAAGGCCCACGAUGAAACAAGUUGCAAUGGAGCUGGAGAGGAUUAAAGCAUCAGAAGAAGCUAAUGCUAUUGAACAAAGUGUGGAUGAAGAUUCUGAUACAGAUGAGAUGAUCGAACCCUGGGCUAUUGCUUCUUGUUCAACGUCUAGGUCAAUCAUAAACGAUAGUGUAACUCUGCCAUUGGAUACAUACUCCUAGUUGGUUUCCAACAGUACUUGUUAAACUUUCUUCCUUUGGUGUCUUUUCUUUGUAAUAUAUCUGCCUGUGUGGUUCAGCUCAUCCUUGUUUUAAUUUCAAACUCUUUUUUACUUCAUUUUUUCUUCCUCUCGUUACUUUCCUCUCACCCGUUGUGGAAGGUCUCAAAUGCAUGCCUAAGACCAUCUCCGUUUCAAAUGUCAUGAUUGAUUAGAAUAAAUAUGAAAAAAAAAAAAAAAGAUUUAGUAUUGUUGACUUCCAACUGUUGUUCUUGGUAUACCAACAAGUGAAGACGAAGUUCAUAUUAUUUCAUACAUGUAAAAGAAGAUACCAUGCUUCUUUGCAUUGAUUUUUAAGUCAAAUAGGUGCCUGAGUGACGAUGAUUGUGGAGAUCUAACAUAUGCCAUCACUGCCAUCAUUUUGAAAUUUCAGAAAGUGAACGAGAAAAACGAGGCCGCCAAGCGUUCAUAUAGGAAUUAUCAAAAAGGAAAAUGAAGACUUUAGAAUGAAUACCUAAUGGACAAGACUCUCCAUCACAGAACAACUAAAUAUAGUAACUUCGGACCUAAUAUAAAAAUUAUAUGGUUUAAAAUUUUGAUAUAAAUCAUGAGUUUGACAAAACAAAAAAUUACGAUUUAUAUUUUCGUAUCAACACGAAUUAUAACAUAAUAAUUUUCGUAUUUUAUUCAUGUUUGAUAUGAAAGAAACGUGAUACAAAUAUGAAUUAUCAUGUCUAUGAAGCAUGAACCCCAAAUGUUCUUAUUUUAUAUGCAGUUGUUUAUCACCGGUAACAAUAUAUUCAUUCCCUUUCAGCAAGAAAAUUGACUUCCAAAUUCCUCUUUCUCCUCCAAAAUAUCACAACCUAAUCCGAUAUAGCUGCCAUUAGUUUCAACCAGAACCCAGGUUUUUUUGCAAACAUGUCCUGUAAGAUUUCCCCUGUUCUUUCAAUACUUGUCCUGCUACAAUCACUUUCACUACUCUUGCCUCCAAUUUCAACCAGAAGCACUCACUUUGGUAAUUGUUACCUAUGUAAUGUAAGUUAUAACCAAAAGGGGCAAAAAAAAAAAAAAACAACAACUAUCAUUGUAGUGUAACGUUCUUCUAGGUUUUGGAUUCUAUCUAUCGUUCAGUACUUUGUUUUUUGUUUUCAGGAUUAUUGUAGGAAAGAAGGUCAAUGAAGAGAUUCAGAGAAAUCUAAUAGAGGGGAAAGGACCAAUUUGUCUUGUUCAUGCAGGAAGCGGUUAUCUCCCGAUAGGUGUCCUCCUCUUCAUGCCAAUAGCGAGAAGAAAAAAUUUACUCGGCCGGUAACAAAGGGUCAUAACUAGUUGUUACCAAAACAAAGCCUUGCUAUGUGAGUAAUAAUUCUCUAAAAUUAAGAAGCAGAUAUACAAGAAAUAAAGAGAUUAAGUAAGGAUAUACUACAAGUGUUCCUAAAUAAAUAGCCUGAAACAUAACUCUAUCCCUCUUCUCUCACCUAUCGAAUUAAACACUAGUGAAAAUAUUUUUUGUUUCUCCUUUUCCCCUUCCAUUCUCGCACUUUAAUCUUUCUACAAAAGGGAAGCCUCAAUUUCUAACUUACAGGUUACCACUCAAUCUAGUGGGGUUGCAAUGUCAAUGAACUCAGUGUUUCUACCUUAAUUUGUUGACUUAAGGAUGAAUAAUGUAUUCUACAGCAUAAUUGUGAUUAUGAUUAUUUAUGAUGACGAUUCCUCAAAAACUUAGAAGUUGCUAGAAUGAUGAAGAUUAUAUAGAUUCCUUUUCUUUUUCUUUUUUUUUCUUUUAACAGGAUAAUUGAAGAUCAUACAAAUUCCAUCAAAAGAAUUUUACAUGCAGUUUGUGAUGAUGUCUUUGCACAUGUUACAGAUUUUAUAGGGGUAUAUGAUAUAUAUAUAUAUAUGUGUGUGUGUGUGUGUGUACUGCUGAGAGACCACUAACCUCCUGGCCUUGAACAAUCGAACUUGUGAAUUUUUGCUUUCAACAUAAAAGCCAUCAGUGAAUGUUUGCUCUUGUCAACUUUCUUUGUCCCAAAGUAAGAAGCAACUUGUAAUCCUACAUAUUUCAAUACAUUAGAAGAUCUGAAACAAGCACAACAGAUAAUUUCAUUUCAUCAUCCUAUUGUAUGGACUUAUUGCCACCUUUACAAGACUCUCCUGGCAUAGUGUAUAGCAACAGGUUUGGCAUCUAAGACAACUAGUAAUUGCACUUUAUGCGGGAAAAAAUGAAACUUAUGCCGGUUCAGUUAUAGCAACAUGGCAGCGCAAAAUAAUGCAAAAAGUACCUGUACAAUAGACUGUGCACAAAGCUUCCCUGAGAGAACAGCACCUUCCAUUGAACCUAAAUACUUUUGCUUUGUGUAAUCGCCUGCCAGACAGAACCCCUCUAUCGGAAAUCUUUGCAAGGGGCAGCAGGGUUCACAAUUUGGAACAGUUUUAUAUAAAGAUCUGAAAUGAUAAUUAGCUUUUACUUUCAGUAGGAAUCUAGUGACCAAGGUACAAAUGUAAAUUGAUUUAAGGCCUGCAAUCCAUUUAAUAUAGGUGUACAGUUCCACAUAUAGAUAAAUGCAGUCAUGCAUGCAUGUGCAAACAUACGUAUGUAAUGCUACUGAAAUCCUGUUUAGAGAUUGUACGAAAGUUUGUCCAAUAUAGCAUUAAAAGCUUCCAUGAAAAAUUUGAAAUAAAUAUUUAUGUUACAUGUUUCUAGCACAAUUAUACUCUUUGAUGCAUCACUAUAUGAAUAUAAGGGGAAGCCAUCACCAGCCAUGAAUUUUUCAGCCAUGGCAUAACAUUUCAAGCAAUGGCUUGGAUUUGAUUUAAAAAGAAAGUACUAAUAAAGAUUCUGAAAGAAUGCACUCAAUCUAACCUUGGUGUUUUAACAAUAUGGUACUUUAUGACUUUUGCUUUGCUCUGAUCUGCAGAAAUUUCAUCAGGAAAGAGCUUUGCAAGUUCCUUCAUUGUAGCAUCAAUAAUUUCUGAGUCACUCUGUGCAAUCCAUUCUUCAGCAAGGGCAAAAACUAACUCCAGCAUGGAUUGGUUUGGAUUGUAAUAUUCCUGCAUAAAACAAUAAAUCAUUAAUUAGUGGUUGCAUGCAUGAAUGAGGAGACAAAAAGCUAAUGCAGUUAACCUCUUUUAUAUAACGAAAAAAAUUAUUUAAAGGGAGAGUAACAGUAAUGUCUCUGCACCUAUCAUUUUAUUCUUUUAUAAUUAUUACUUUCUCAAACUUUCCUUUUUCUCAAUUCUCAUGGAAGGUUGAGUUAAAAUUACACUUCUAUAUCCAACCGUUCUUUGGAUUUGACAGUUGCCAAUAAUUAAUAGGUUCCCCUUCCAAGGCUAAGUCAAUUUUUGUAAGUAAUUUUCCCAUGUUCAUCAAUAACAGUGACUUCAAUAGGUUGCUUACCUUCUGCCUUAGAUUGGGAAACUGGAGUUUGAUGACUAUUGGACACAUGAUUACCUCCAUUUGUUUCAGGCAUUGCUUGGCUAUCAAUAGGCAGAGACCCUAGACAGGAAGUAAUAAUAUCCCUACACUAUGGUUUCCACUUUCUUAUAAGCAAAUAACUUUCUUCCUCAAAAUUUAUUCUAGUUCCAUUUCUACAUGAAUAUCAUGAAUUUAGAAAGACGUUUAGUAAAAAUUCAUAAAGCUACCAUGGGGCAGGCAGAUAACAAGCACGAGAGCUAAACAUAUAGCAAAGAGGGGGCAAAUUAAAGGGCUAAUGAAUGAAGUAGGAAGACCUGCUGAACAGUAGAUGAUCAUAGAUGUUCUUCAAUUUCCUAUCAAACCUGCAAAUGGAGAUAAUGUACACCACUCAACCAUGGGCUCUCACAUUAAAUUUUGGUGGGAAAGGUAUAAAUAUAUACAUAUUGCAGUCUUGAAACCCAAAAAAGAUCUGAGUAUCGUAGCACUAUAGAAAAUAAUGCAUCUGUUUACAAGGGAAUAGCAAGCAUGUAUCACUAAAUUCAUUUCAUCAGUGGAGUGCAGUGAAUUAAUAAGAAAUUAGAGACAACAAUGCUUGCUACAAGAACUCUGAACAAAAAUAAUGCUGCAUUCUGAUGGGAGAUCAGUGUACGGUGUUGGGGACAAUGUAAAACCUAAAGGUUUUAAUAUUGGUCUAAACUUGUGAUGCAUGAAUCCUCCAUUUUUCUUGCUGGUCAUUGACGUAAGAAACAGCUUCCAGCGAUCUCCACUAAACAAUUACCCCUUGCAUGUGAAUUUCGACCAUAUUGGGCUUUGAGUUAAGCUCCACUCUGCUUAUGAGCACUGAAAAGUAAUCCACAAUUUUGCCCUCUCAUUAUGACUCUGUACAGCAUUGGCCAUGAUAUAGCCUCAAAUGAACUACCCCUUGUCUAUAUAACCUCAAAUAAAUCGCCCUUUGUUUGUCCCCUUUUCAAUGGGAAAAUAAAAGAAAACCACGGGACAUUCAACCAAAAGCCCAAAGCUUAUUAAUACUGCUUAAAGAUGCUGCCAUGAAAAUAAUAAAAUUGCACGACAUAACAACAAUAGGAAACACAUGCAUGCUCUUCUAAACUACUCUUAAAAGUCUAUGCAACCUAGAGAGUCAUAGCACAUGCCCAACACUCCUGCUUUUUGCUUAGAGGGCAUAUCAAAUGAAGGACAUAAUGUAAAUGAUGAGCAAUAUCUUUUGUGAAGGGCUGAAAAACAUAUACCAGUCCUUCAUUUCUCCAGCACUGUUCUGAUGUGGGACUCUAUACCCUAGGUGCUCUCAAACUGGGUUAUAAUAUGCUGCAUCAGCACUCAACCAUUCAGCUCAUGGUCAAGAUCAAUACCCACAUAUAAUAGUUUCUUCCCGUAACACUUCUUUUAAGUUUCCAUGUUCAAUCAGUUGAAAAGAUAUCAAUAGAAAGUCAACGGGAUGUACUUACUUCAAACAACAUCUUUAUGAAGUGCAAAGAUUUAGAAAAGGGUUGGGGAAUGAGACAGACCAAUAGCAAUACCAAUGAAUUGUUUGAACAAACAAUAGAAUUUGUUACUAACCAUAUGUGAACAUUGAUAACUGGAACUCCAACUAAUUUAUCUAAUUUCUUGAAGUAUGAAAUCUUUCUCCAAUCUUCAUGCAAAAGUAGCUUGAGGAUAUCAACUGACAAGUUCAACAUCCAUCAGCUAUUAUUAGAGAAGCCGGUAAUCUAGUAAAGCUAAAUAGUACUAUUCAAUAGGAAACAGUGUAUACCUGGAGUUGCAAUUAUGUAAGCAUCUCCUUCAAUUGUAUUGCCAUUAUUUAGAAGAAAACCUUUCACAUUUCCAUCAUCAUUGAGCUCUAUUUUCUUUAUUCGUGAGUUAAGCCAGACCUCACCACCCAGUGAUUCAAUAUGAUUAACAAUCGGCAUGCAAAGCCUCUCAGGGGGGUUUACGUCCAAGAAUGCCAUCUUUGAGCCAUUUUUCUCCUGUAGUUGGAUUUUCAUACGUUCUUAGCAAGCUAGCGUAAUGUUGUUAUACCUUGCUUUCCUUAUUUUGUAUAACCUCGACUGUAUAAAAAUGAAUGAAUAUGACUAUCCAACAAAUGUAUAUUCAAUGAACCUUGUUUGCAGUACAAAUUACAAAAGCUUCACCAUCUGUAGAUGCUUCUGGACUCUAGCAUAUAAGAGUACAAGAAAACAUGCUAUCUCAAAGUGAUUGGAGAACAUCCAAUGAGCCAAAAUUAAAAUUACCUGUCUGUUGCUCGAUCUAAUAAUGAUGUAUUAAUCGAGGUGUCCAAGUUUCAUAUUUAUAGAUUCCUUUGGGACACAAAUAAUGUCACUACCGUUGACGUAUGGCAUAAGUUUCUGUUUCAAGUACAAUUCAACCAUGGAUCAUUUGAUGAUUUUGUUGCUGAUUCUGAAUCCAACAUAAUGAAGUUAUAAAUAUAAAACCAGUGGGCCAAACAAGGGAACCACACCUGAAGAAAUCGAUUCAAAGCAAUCAAUAUACAUUGCAUUGAAAGUUCAUCGGGGUUAAUGAAGUUCAGUGCCUUUGACAUGGCAAUAAACACCUCAUCAGUCACACGAUCAGGUAUGCCCUGAAAAAGAAAAUGAUGAAACCAGUUUUCUUUAUUUUUAAUCAUUUAACGAGUUUUUGCUACUUAAUGCAAUUCAUACCAGAUUCAUUAACAAUGACGCAUGGGCAUUAUUUAAAUGAAUGUAGAGGCUAAUGCAUACAUUAACUGAUAGACUUUGCAUCACCUACAAAAGUUCACUCUACUAAAUAUAACUCCGCACAAGGCAACUUGGUUUCUAAAGUUUCUUUUGUUACACAAUUUCAUAAAUUCACACCUCUCCCUCUCCCUCCCCCUCUUCCUUUUUCCAUUUUCCUAGAAGCCUUCGGCAAUACUUUUCUCCCAUCUAAAAGUUUAGCAUCAUGAUAUUUCAUGUUUCACUCAUAUAAAAUGAAGCACCAGCACUAAAAUCAAUGGACAGUCAUGCACACAUUUAAUACUAUGAAUAUAGCACAGAAAUGAGACUCCUCAGGGACCCCAAGUGACUUCAAACAAAUCCAGGCGUAAGGAUUGUUGUUCUAUUAUACUUGUACUCUUAUGCACCUUUCUCAAGCAAGAAAUGUAUCAUGUAUUUGGUAAAGGCUUAAAACUCUGUAUCAGACCCAUACAUGCAUGCAACCACAGGACAGCAAAUUAAUUGCACCAUUAUAUGAGCAGAGCUUAAAGUUGACGAGGCUCUUUUUGGGAAGUUUUUUAUCAGGAUGAACUAAGCUCACCACUCAGACACCAGCCAAACUUGCACCCAUACCAUUUAUGUACAUGCUAAUAGCCUCGAAAGGAGAAUUUUGUCAAAAAAAUAACUGACAUACCUGCUUUUUCAUCCACUCUUUAACAGUUAAACCAUCUUGGGCUUCAACAUAAGGUUGUCCACCAAGCAUUGCUGGUAAGAGUCCUAUUGCAAACUUCACUUUCUCAGGCCAAGUCAGCAUUUCAUUGUUCUUCAAAAUGGCCCAUAUCCCUGUCAGUUUACAUUGAUAGGAGAUAUAAGCAAAUUGUAAUUUUUUACUUUCGUAGGUGUUAGUCCUGGCAUUCAGCGUCUGUAGAAAAAAUUCCACAUAAAUUUAAAUGAUAAGGGCAAAACAUAGUUUCCCAAUUACCCCAAUGGGUCCAACACUAAUAUGGAUCAGACACAUUCUAAAAGGGGAAUGUAAUUCAGCCCCCAACAAGGUAUGGCUUCCUACGUACAUGGACAAGACAAAAAUAAAAAUAAAUAAUAACAAAAGAUGAGAUCUAUUCCUAGAUCAAAACCUUACAGAACGAAAAUACAAGCAAAUAAUCUAGGGAUUUGUCUCAAUCACACCAGAAAAAAAGAUUAAACAAUUGAAACAGGGAACAAGCAAACAUAGAGAAAUAAGAUAUGAAGAGCUUUUGCAAAUUUCCUACCAUGGCCACAACAAGAAGAAAACCCAUCGUUGAAAGAUCAAGAAAUUAUAAUUGGUCAUCCUCCCAAAACCCCUUACACCCAACCGUUAUGAGCUGUUCUCAUUCACAUGCUCAUUGGCAGACUUAGAAACACCGAAAGACUCAUUUCCUAUAUGAAGAGCCUGGAAAGUUCAUACGCAAAAGAGUGGGUUCAUUAGAAUCCCUUUUGGAUUGAAUAUGCUGAAACAGAGCCAAUUUGAUAAAUGAAAACUUGAUAAACCGAGGAAGUCAACAUUCUGCCACAAUCUAGUGUAGUUCCAAAAGUGGCCCAACUCUCAGAGUUCAAGAUUUCAAGAAAGCAAAACAAUAAUCUUCAAUUAAAAGGCAUACAACUUAAAAUCAAUUAGCAAUAAGUGGAGAAACCUGUCUUGAAUAUAAGGUUGGUCCUAAGAAGCCCCAAAUUAAACAAUCUUGGAUUACCAGGACCUAAUGAGGACAACUAAUGCUUCAGUCUUAUGUUUUCUACUAUGACAAACAACUAAAGGAAACUAAGGGAAAGGCCAUGAGCAAUUUGGGUGACCGACAAUAAAUACACAUAAAUGGAAAGAAGAAACAUCAAUAGCAAACUGGAAUAUAUUGACUAACCUAUAAGAUAGAAUGGCGACAAGACCGAAAAACUUGUCCCCAAUAUUAAUUAAUCAUUUAGAACAAGGUGUUGUCUACAGCCAACCAAUUAAAUCAAAACAGGUACACAAACAGGCAGUUCUAUUUUCCUACUGUUUGUAAAAGCAAAAACACAUUUUCAUAGAUUUGUACAAACAUAUACAAACUUUAGUUACCAUGUAUUUAAGUGGUUUACCAUUUAUGGGUGCAGGUAGAACUUCUGGAAAAUCAAAUCGGCUGAACUCUCCAGGUUUAUUUGGCAUUGCAAACAUCAUAGAAUGCUCCUUCCAUUGCAGCUGGUCAUUGAUGCCAAGUUCUCCAAACAAGUUUUGCACAUUUGGGUAAGCUCCGACUUGCCAAAAAGAAAAGAAAAAAUAAAUAAAAAAGAUGUUGAAAUGUAUCAGAUAGUUCGGCACGACAAAACAGUCAGGAGAUGAAGAAGAAAACAAUAGGUGGAAAUAUUGUCNNNNNNNNNNNNNNNNNNNNNNNNNNNNNNNNNNNNNNNNNNNNNNNNNNNNNNNNNNNNNNNNNNNNNNNNNNNNNNNNNNNNNNNNNNNNNNNNNNNNNNNNNNNNNNNNNNNNNNNNNNNNNNNNNNNNNNNNNNNNNNNNNNNNNNNNNNNNNNNNNNNNNNNNNNNNNNNNNNNNNNNNNNNNNNNNNNNNNNNNNNNNNNNNNNNNNNNNNNNNNNNNNNNNNNNNNNNNNNNNNNNNNNNNNNNNNNNNNNNNNNNNNNNNNNNNNNNNNNNNNNNNNNNNNNNNNNNNNNNNNNNNNNNNNNNNNNNNNNNNNNNNNNNNNNNNNNNNNNNNNNNNNNNNNNNNNNNNNNNNNNNNNNNNNNNNNNNNNNNNNNNNNNNNNNNNNNNNNNNNNNNNNNNNNNNNNNNNNNNNNNNNNNNNNNNNNNNNNNNNNNNNNNNNNNNNNNNNNNNNNNNNNNNNNNNNNNNNNNNNNNNNNNNNNNNNNNNNNNNNNNNNNNNNNNNNNNNNNNNNNNNNNNNNNNNNNNNNNNNNNNNNNNNNNNNNNNNNNNNNNNNNNNNNNNNNNNNNNNNNNNNNNNNNNNNNNNNNNNNNNNNNNNNNNNNNNNNNNNNNNNNNNNNNNNNNNNNNNNNNNNNNNNNNNNNNNNNNNNNNNNNNNNNNNNNNNNNNNNNNNNNNNNNNNNNNNNNNNNNNNNNNNNNNNNNNNNNNNNNNNNNNNNNNNNNNNNNNNNNNNNNNNNNNNNNNNNNNNNNNNNNNNNNNNNNNNNNNNNNNNNNNNNNNNNNNNNNNNNNNNNNNNNNNNNNNNNNNNNNNNNNNNNNNNNNNNNNNNNNNNNNNNNNNNNNNNNNNNNNNNNNNNNNNNNNNNNNNNNNNNNNNNNNNNNNNNNNNNNNNNNNNNNNNNNNNNNNNNNNNNNNNNNNNNNNNNNNNNNNNNNNNNNNNNNNNNNNNNNNNNNNNNNNNNNNNNNNNNNNNNNNNNNNNNNNNNNNNNNNNCAAAUAACAAAAAGUAUACUUCCUUAUAAUUAAUUUCACUUCAGGAUUAUUGAAAUUAUUGCGAAAGAUAAAAAAUAUAUUAGAUUCUAAUUGUGUUAUUAUUUCAAUUAAAUUUCAAUUAUGUUCAAUCAUUUAGAUUUAAAUAGAUUAAUGUUUACUUUUUAAAAUUAAUUGAAACUGAGUCAAGUUAAUUUAUUUUUAAACUAUGUUAUCAUAUUAAUUUUUAAUUAAAUUAAAUUUUAAAAUGAGUAAAAAAUUUUAUUGUAUAUCAAUUUGAGUUUUAAAUUGUUUCAAGUUUGAAUUAAUUAAUCAUAUUUUUUAGUUUAUACUUUUAUGACACUAGUAAUAAAUUUCAAAAAAAAUGAGAACAUAAUACAAUAAAAUUUUAAGCGGCAAAAGUUACGAAGAUACUAAUGAAAAUUUUAGAAGAAAAUUCUUAUACCCAAGUCUUACAUAAAUUAAAGGAUAUAAUUUCUUUUGAGAAUUCUUGAAUUCAUAUUAUAGAAAUUUUAAUCUAGAUCAAUGAGUUUAUAAUGGUUCAUUUACUGAUUAAGUUGCUACUAUAUAGGUUGAUGGAAAAAACUUAAAUAUUUCAUUUGAAAGAAAUAUCAUAAUUCAUACUUAGGAAACAACAUAGAAUUAAUAUAAUAACUUUGUAGUAAACAAUUAUAAUAUAGUUAUAAAUGAACAAUAUAGUAGUAAAUCAAGGGCAACUAUUAAAAAAAUAAGUGAUAACUUAGUAGUUAAUUAUAAUAACUUAAUAAUAAAUCAAUAUAACUUUAUAGGAAAUUAGUUAAUUUAAUAGUAAAUCAAUUUCAAUUUAAUAGUAAUUAAUUGAUAUGUAGUAAAUCAUAAAUAACAUAGUGGUAAAUCAAUGAUAACUUAGUACUAAAUAAUUAAUGAUUUAACUAUUAUCAUUGAAAACUUAAAAGAAGAAGAAGAUAAUUUAGUAGUUAAUCUUUGAAAACAUAAAAGUAAAUCAUUAUAACUUAAUAGUUAACCAAUGAUAACUUAAUAGUAAAUAUGAAUAACUUAAUAUAAAUUACUGAUAAUUUGAUAAUGAGUUAUGGACAAUUUAGUAGUAAUUGGUAAUAAAUUUUAAAAAUAAUAAAAAUUAAGUAAUAAAAUCAAUAAUAACAUAGCAAUAAAUACAUAAUAAUAUAAUAAUAAAUCAUUUAUAAUUUUUAGUAGUAAAUUAAUUACAAAUAAAUUAGUUAGGUUCCUUCAAACUUAAAUUUAUUGCGUUCAAAUAUAUUAUUUUUUAAAUUAGAUUUACUUAUUAUAAAUUAUUUUUAAUUUAAAAUGAAUAAAUUAGUUAUUAUUAUAUUUUUACAAAUAUGUAGAUUUAAUUUUAAUAUAUAUAUGAGUACUAUAAUUAUUAAAACCGAUAAACAAAUAUUCAAUUGGCAUCAUUUUCUUUUUUUAAUCAAACUAUUUUUACUAUACAUUGCAUGCCCAUUUUUUGUGAAAAUUGUUAUAAGUCAAAAUAAUUACAAUGACUAGUUUAAGUAUCUUUUUCAUAAUUUUAAAAAUAUCAUACAAAAAAAUUCAAAGAUUUUAACUAAUUGUAUCAAAGUUUUUACUCUAUUGCUCUAAAUUUUAUUUUUUAGUUAAUAAUUUUUUUUACUUUUUUACUUUAAUACUUAAGUAUGCUCAUUUUUAAAAAAAACUAUUACAUACUAAAAUAAUUAAUAUGAAUAUAGCCUUAGUACCUUUUCGUAAUUUAAAAAGUACCAUUUAAAAAAUUAUGAGGUUUCAGUUUAUUAUAUUAAAAUCUUUACUUUACUGUUCUAAAUCUUUUUAUUCAAAAAUGUAAUAUUUUAUGAAUUUUUAAUGUAAUAUGUAAAAUAUUAAAUAUCACAAGAUAAUAUACUAAUAAUGUAAAAAAUAAUUAUAUUUUUUAUAAAAUAUGUUGCUAGUGAUUUAUAUAUAAUUUAUUUUAUAUAUUUUACAUAUUCUUUUUAUAUAAUAAUAGGGUUCGAACUUUUACUUUACAUGAUUUUUUAAAUUCUUUUAACUAUUUGAUUAGAAGUUGAAGACAUUAUUUACAUUAUUAGCAUUACUUGUAAUGCAUUAAAUGUUAUUAUUAUAUUUGCAUUUAAAUUUUGUUAUUAUUAAUAGAUUUGAUAUAUUUUUAAAAAAAUUAUUAUCAUAAAAUAUUAUUUCAAUCCCCCGAAGUUAAGCAUUAAGAUCCGUUACUGUUAAACGUUAAUAAUCAUGGCCGACAUCAUCAUUUGGAAAUUCAGAAAAGAGAAGAAGAGAGAGCAAUUGUACGAAACUGACGACUUAGGAAUGAACGAGCGGGCAGCUAUAUAUAAUGGAGCAUGAACCCAAUCCGGUAAAGCUGCCAUUAGUUUCAACCAGAAACCAGUUUUUUUUUGCAAGCAUAUCCUGUAAGAUUUCCCCUGUUCUCUCUUUGCUUGUCCUGCUACUAUCACUUUCACUACUCUUGCCUCCAACUUCAACCAGAAGCACUCACUUGGGUAAGUGUUAACUAUGUAAUAUAAGUUACAACGAAAAGGAAAAAAAAAAAAACAACUAUCAUUGUACCGUAACGUUCUUCUAAGUUUUGGAUAUUAUCUAUUGUUCAGUACUUAAUAAUUUAGUAAUAAAUUAUUUAUAGAUAAAUGAUAAAUUAUUUAUAAAUUAAUAAUAAAUUAAUGAUAAAUUUAAUAAUCAAUUAUUAUAAUUUAAUAAUAAAUUAUUAAUAACUAAUAGUAAAUCAUUAAUAACAUAAUAAUAAAUAAAUAUAUAAUUAUCAAUUAUUGAUAAUUUUUUUAUAUUACAGUUGUUACGAAUUGAAUUCUAAUUAUUAGCAAGAAUAAAACUAGAUCUUUCAUCUUUGAGGUUAGAAUAAACUUAUUAUGAAUCUAUUCAAUAAAAAUUUGAAUAAAAUUUUUUAAUUUGAAUUAAAGCGAUAAUGUUAUUAUAUAAAAAAAAUUUAUCUCAUAUAUUGUGAGUGUACUUUUUAAACUCCAUAUUUCAUAGUUGUAAAUCCAUAAUAACAUAGUAAAAAAAUCAAGGAUAAUUUAAUAAAAAAUAAGUGAUAGUUUAGUUGUUAAUAAAAUAGAUGGAAGUAUCAAUAGAAGAUUAUCCUAUGGAAAACAAAAAUUGAUUGAUUAUGAAUAGCUUUAUUGUCUCCAUGUGACAAGCAAGAUUAGUACUAUAUGAUAUUUCAAUGAAGAAUAUAUAAUGCAUUGAUUUCAAAAUUUUUUAGGAUUAAUAUGAAAUUCUUUUAUUAAGAGGAAUAUAGUAAACUCUUUCAUUUUCUUCAUUAUAUUUGGUGAAAAAUAUUCAUUGUUGUAUCAAAAUUUUUAAGGUUACUAUAUUGGUAAUAUUUUUCAAAAAUGUUAAAAUUUAGUAAAUUAAUUAUUUUUUAUAAAUUUAAUUUAAUUAUACUUCAAAUUGAUUUGAAGGUAUUCAUUAGCAAAUUCAUUUGAUACAUCUUUAUUUAAUUAAUUACUUAGUAUUUUAAUUAUUUAAAAUUCUUAUUUUUCAUUAUUUUGAGUAGGAUUUGACUUAAGAUUAGUGAUUAAUUAGGUUAAAUCAAGUUUUAUCAUUUACCUUUAUUCAUAGUAUACUUAAUUAUUCACUUAUGCACCUAAGUAAAUUUGACUCAAUAAUUGGCAUAUGCUUCUUUUUGUUUAAAAAGCUAUAUUAAAUUAUUUUAAAUCCAAAUAAAAAAGUAUACUCAAUUACUAAUAAUUGUAAUUCACUUUAAAUAUAAUCUUAAAAAUUAAUUAACUACUUCAAUAACAAAGACGAUAAAAGUGAGACAUUAAAGAUGAAGAAAACUUAAAUAAGAACUUUUAAUUUGUUAUAAAGAUGAAUAAGAAAUAUUCGAUUUGAUUGGAUUAUUAUAUCAAUUCCAAUUUUGGUUAUCUACAAUCAUAUCAAGUUUUAAAUAACUACUAAGUUAUUAACUUUUUAAAACCAAUUGAAAUUGAGUCAGUUAUUAAUUUCAUAAUUUGAUAAUUAUAUUAAUUUUUAAUUAAAUUAAAAUUUAAAAUGAGUAAAAUUUUUGUAAACUUAAUUGGAGUUUGGAUUUAUGUCAAGUUUGAAUUGAUUAAUUAUGUUAUUUUUAGGUAUAAUCUUAUAAUUUUUAGUUAUAAUCUUAUAACAACCGUAAUGAACUUCAAAACAAAAUGAGAACACAAUAAAAAUAUUUCAUUUGAAAGGGAUUUCAUAGUUUAAUAUUCAUUAACAAAAACAACAUGGAGUUAAAUAUAUUUGGGUUGCUAUUACCUCUUAUAAUAUUCUUUACUUUUUUUUAAAUGGAGAAGGCUAAUUAAUAUCAAAAUAUCCAAAAAAGUUCAUUUUGAAUGAUGGUAAUAAAAAAGGAAGCAACAAUUUGAAAUAUACCACUCAUUAUUGUUUAGUAGAGAGGAAAUCUUUUGAAUAAGAUAUGUGGAAGGCAAAUAUUGUGAAUUUAGUGAUAGUUUUAGAAUUGAUUAUUCUUUAUAAAGUUUCUUUAGUGAAUUUUUAUUUGUUACUUUAACUCAAAUAUAUAUAACAAAUUUUUGCCCAAAAUUGAACUCAAGAUAAAAUAAUAUGGCAAAGCUUUGUUACUUGUCAAUUGUUGGCAAAAGACUUCAAUUUUUUCAAUCUUUUAUAUAUAAUUAUACUUCGUAACAGGUAUGGAAAUAUAUACACUAAUCAUUUAUCAAAUCAAUAAUAAAUCUUAUUCUUAUUAUGUAUUAUUUUAUCAUGAACUAAAAAUUAAAAAUAAUUUAGAAAAAUUAACUUAAUAUAUAUUAUAUAUAUUAUUUAAUUCAAUUUUGAUAUUUACAUUACUAUAAAAAGUUAUGAGUAAUAUUAUGUGUUAAACUACAAAUAACAAAUUAAAAGCAUUUACUCAUACUUUUCAAAUCUUCUUCACUUAACUUUUUUACUUUCUUUCUCUACUUUACAAAUUACAAAUCUAAGCAUAUAUUAUGGUCAUUUUUUUUCUAGAUAUACGUAAAUCAAUAAAAGUAGACAAUUGAUUACUUAGUAAUUAAUUAUUAAAAAUUUAAAAGUAAUUAAUAUAACUUAAUAGUAAUUAUCAAUAACUUAUUAUUAAUCAGUAAUAACUUAAUAGUAAAUCAUAGAUAACUUAGUAGUAAACUAGUACUUAAUAAUAAUUGAAUGAUAAUUUUGUAGUCAAUAAUUGAUAACUUAAUAGUAAAUCAGUAAUAACAAAAUAGUAAAUACAUUAAGAACUUAGCAAUAAAUCAAUUAUAAUAUAGUUGUAAAUGCAUAACUACAUAGUAGUAAAUCAAAGAUAACUUAUUUAAAAAUCAAUAAUAAUUUAGUAGUUAAUCAUUGAUAAUUUAGUAAUAAUCAAUGAUAACUUAAUAGUAAAUCAAGUUUGGUUUAAUAGUAACUAAUUGAUAGUAGUAAAUUAUAAAUAAUUUAGCAGUAAAUAAAUGAUAACUUGGUAUAAAUAAUUGAUAAUUUAUAGUUAAUCAUUGAAAACUUAAAAAUAAAUCAGUACAACUCAAUAUUAAAAUAUCAAUAACUAACUUAAUAUUUAAUAAAUGAUAACUUAAUAAUAAAUUAUAGAUAAUUUAUCACAAAUAAGUGGUAACUUGGUAGUGAACAAUGGAUAAUUUAGGAGUAAAUUAGUAAUAAUUUUGUAUUAAAUAAUAAAAAAUUAAGUAGUAAAUUCAUGAUAACAUAAUAGUAAAUUAUAUAAUAUAAUAAUAAAUUAUUAAUAACUAAAUAAUAAAUCAAUAAUAAUGUAGUAACUAAGUUACAAAUAAUUUAGUUAUAAAUCAGUAAUAAUUUGGUUGUAAAUUAGUUAAUCAUUGAUAACUUUAUAAUAAAUUAUCGAUAAAUUAGUAGCAAAUAACUUAUAACUUUUAGUAAAUUAUUAAUAAUUCAGUGGUAACUAUUCAACAAUAAUAGUAAAUCAUUCAUAACAUAAUGGUUAAUCAUUUAUAAAUUAGUAUAAAAAUUAUUGAUAAUUUAGUAGUAAAUUAUUAAUAGCUUAAAAUAAAUUAUUGAUAACAUAAUAAUAAAUCAAUAUAACUUAAUUGUUAAAUUAUUAAUCUUUUUUUAUACCUUAAGUUGUUAGGGAUUGAACCUUGGUUACUAAUAGAAACAAAGCCAGGAAUUUCAUCUUGGGGACUAGGAUAAAUCUACAUGAACCUACUUAAUAAAAACUUAGUUAAAAAAAUUAAAUUUGAACAAAAUAAUAAUAUUAUUAUAUAAAAAGAAAAGAAAAUUAUCUCAUAUAUUGUUAGUGGACUUUUAAAACUCUAUUUUUUAUAGUUGUAUAUGCAUAAAAACAUAUUAAUAAAUUAAGGAUAGCUUAAUAAAAAAUAAAUGACAACUUAGUAGUUAAUUAUUGAUUAAUUAGUAAUAAAUUAAUAAUAACUUCAUAGUAAAUUAGUGAAACUUAAUAGUAAAUCAAUUUUAGUGUAAUAGUAAAUAAUUGAUAAAUUUAGUAGUAAAUCAUAAAUAAAUUAAUAGUUAAUUAAUGAUAAUUUAGUAGUUAAUCAUUGAAAAUUUAAAAGUUAAUCAAUAUAACUUGUAGUAAAUAAUCGAUAACUUGAUAGUUAUAUUUAAAUCAACUAAAUCAAAUUGGAUUAAGCAUUGAUUCAUGUAAAAUAAUCCAAAAAUGAUUAAUUUGGCAUAAAAUUCGUUCACAAAUUUAAUUAAAACAGUUAAGUUGACCCAACUCAAAAUAUUCAAAUCAAAUUUAAAAAUAGAUCAAAAUCAAAUCAGCUCAUAUAAAAUUAAGGGUCUAAGCUUAUAUGCAAUUUACACAUCGGAAAUUGGUAAUGUUAUUUGAGAAGGAAAUAAAAGUGUAUAAAUCGACGACUAGGAAAAUAUAAGUCGAAAUUCAUUAAAAUAAAUUCAAAUAUAAAAUACAAAAAAUAAAAUAAAAUUUAACUUGAGAAAUGACCACACAUUAAUUGAUGCCAGUUUACUUCCAUUAUUUGCAAAAUAAAAUGUUUAAGCUUGAAUAAAUACUUAUUCUCCCAAUUUGUUUAUAUAUAUAUAUAUAUAUAUAUAUAAACAACGGCAAACUGAUCUGAUCUUUUUUUUUUAUUAUAAUUAUAUUAUAAGUUGUUUUUGCAAUUAAAAUUGUAUUGAACUAAUUAAAGAACGUUUAGAAAAAUCAAUGAAAUCACGUUGAAGAAUACUUUUAUUUAGAUAAGAAAUAUUCAUGUAAGUGAGUUUCCACAUCAACUUAGAGAGAAAAGCAUACAUUGACUUCGAAAGUCACAUUUCUUUAUUAUUAAAAACUGUCACAUUUCCCUUUCAAGAAAUUGUUUCAAUUUUUUUUCAAUCCCCAAAUUGACUCCCUACAAAGAAAUUUCUUAGUUGUUACACUCCCAUUUUGCAAUUUCACACCAACCAAAGGCACUGACAUUGUUCAUGUCAAGAGAAACAUACAGAACUAAUAAUCAAUCCAAAGUGAUAAAAAGCACAUGAUGUCACAAGGCUCAUAGAAAGAGUUUGAGAUUUAAUUUUGUUGAUUCAUGUAAUCAUCUAUAAACAUUACAUUUAAAUAAUAUGAAUUCAAAUUCAACACUUUCAAUUUUUUUUUCAAUCCCCAAAAUCAAUGCCUUACAAAGAAAUUUCUUAGGUGUUGCACUCCCAUUUUGUAAUUUCACACCAACUAAAGGCACUAACAUUGUUCAUAUUAAGAGAUACAUUUAGAACUAAUAAAGAUGGAAACUUUUAGCACAUGCUUUUCAAUUUUUAAUAGUGGAUAAUAUAUAUAAUUUGCAUGCCUGUGAUAAAAUAUUCAGCCCACCAAUCUUGAAUAAUUACAAGUACUAUAUUUUAUUGCCUCUUAAUUAUGUAUAAAUUUAUCAAUUUAAAACAUAAUACAGUGACAUAAUAAAAAAAACGGUAAGCAAAAUUACAAAGAUAAUAUGGUUUAAAAUUUUAGGUAAACUAUAUAAGAAUUUAACAAAAUAAAAAAUGUAUUUAUAUUUUCAUUUUGAUAUGAAUUUUGACACGCAAUUUUUGUGAUUGCCAAAUCUGACUAUAUUUGGUAAAAAUAAAUAGAAAAUAAUGUAAGACUAAAUCAAUCCAAAGAGAUAAAAAGCAUAUGAUGUCACAAGACUCAUAGAGAGAGUUUGAGAUUUAAUUUUGUUAAUUCAUGUAACCAUUUAUAAAACAUUAUAUUUGAUAAAUAUGAAUUCAAAUCUCAACACUUAGUUUCAACCAGAAACCAAUUUUUUUUUUGUUGCAAGCAUGUCCUGUAAAUUCAAUUAUCAAAUAUAUUUUGUUUAAUCUUGAUAAAUUCAAUUAUCAAAUAUAUAGAGAAUCUGAGAUUUAAUUUAGUUGGUUCAUGUAAUCAUCUAUAAAAAUUACAUUUAAUAGAUAUAAAUUCAAAUUUUAAUACUUACAAUCUUUUUUCAAUACCCAAACCAACGCCUUUCAAAGAAAUUUCUUUAAGUGUUGUGCUCCCAUUUUGCGAUUUCACUCCACUAAGGGCACUAACAUUGUUUAUAGGAAGAACUAACAUUGUUUAUAGAAAGAAAAUCAUACAGAAUUAAUAAAGGUGGAAACUUUAGCAAAUGUUUUUCAAUUUUUAAUAGUGGAUAAUAUAUAUAAUUUGCAUGCUUGUGAUAAAAUAUUCAGCCCACCAAGAUAAGACAGUAUAUAAAUUUUAUAUACAAGACAAAAGGGAGCAACAAAUUAAAAACAAAUUUAAAAAAAUGAUAAUUAAUGUAUUUAUAUCAUAUUUGUUUUGUAUCAAAAUCAUAAAAAAAUGCAAAAAGUAUCGUAAAAUAAUUUGUAUCAACAUGUCAAAUACAAAAUAUAUUUUUUAUUUUUUUAAACUCAUAAAUGAUUUUUUACAUCAUUUUUUGUACCGUAUUAUGAUGUCAUAUAUAAAAAUAUCAAUAUUAUGGAAGUCAACAACAUAAUUUUAAGCUUAUUAUUUUUGGAUAUUUAAAAUUGUUCAAUAAAAUUAAAAAUCCAAUGUCAUAUCAAUAGAUCAAGCUCGCCAAAAGGAAGGGGUUCCUCAUUAGAACCUAGUAGAGGCAUGGUCUCCCCCAAAUUUUGAAAACUUUUUUCAGACAUAUUAUUUUCUCAAUAAUUAUGAAAUUUCUUUACAAAUAAAUUAGUUAGGUUCCUUCAAACUUAAAUUUAUUGUGUUCAAAUAUAUUAUUUUUUAAAUUAGAUUUAAUGAUUUUUAAUUUAAAAUGAAUAGAUUAAUUAUUAUUAUAUUUUUACAAAUAUCUAGAUUUAAUUUUAAUAUAUAUGAGUAUUAUAAUUAUUAAAACCGAUCUAAAAAUUUUCAAUUGGCGUCAUUUUAUCUUUUUUUAAUCAAACUAUUUUUACUAUAUAUUGCAUGCCCAUUUUUUGUGAAAAUUGUUAUAAGCCAAAAUAAUUACAAUGAUUAAUUUAAGUAUCUUUUCAUUUUUCAUAAUUUUAAAAAUAUAAUAUAAAAAAUUAGAAGAUUUAAACUAAUCGUAUUAAAGUUUUUACUCUAUUGCUCUAAAUUUUAUUUUUUAUUUAAUAAUUUUUUUGACUUUUUUAAUUUAAUACUUAAUUAUGCUCAUUUUUUUAAAAAGAUUAUUACAUACUAAAAUAAUUAAUAUGACAAUAGCUUAAGUACCUUUUCGUAAUUUAAAAGUACCAUUUAAAAUUUAUAAAGUUUCAGUUUAUUAUAUUAAAAUCUUUACUGUUCUAAAAUCUAUCUUUUAUUCAAAAAAUAUAAUAUUUUAUGAUUUUUUACUGUAAUAUUUACAAUAUUAAAUAUGAUAAGGUAAUAUAUUAAUAAUGUUAUUUUUAUAAAAUCUGUUGCUAGUGAUUAUAUAUAAUUUGUUUGAUAUAUUUUUCCAUAUUUUUUAUUUAAUGAUAGGGUUUAAACUUUCACUUUACAUGUCUUUCUAAUUCUUUUUAACUACUUGACUAAGAAGUUGAAGACAUAUUUUGCAUAUUGACAUAUUUAUAAUCAUAAAUUUUAUUCUUAUGUUUGCAUUUAAAAUUUUUUAUUAUAUAUAGAUUCGAUAUAUUUUAAAAAAUAAAAAAGUAUUAUCAUAAAAUAUUAUUUCAAUCCCCCAAAGUUAAACAUUAAGAUCCGUUACUGUUAAACGUUAAAUCAUGGCCGACAUCAUCAUUUGGAAAUUCAGAAAAGAGAAGAAGAGAGAGCAAUUGUCCGAAGCUGACGACGAGCAAUUACUAAAAAAAGACCAAAAAAAGAGUCUUAGGAUUGAACGAGUGGGCAGCUCUAUAUAAUGGAGCAUGAACCCAAUCCGAUCAAGCUGCCAUUAGUUUCCACCAGAAACCAGUUUUUUUUUGCAAGCAUGUCCUGUAAGAUUUCCCCUGUUCUUUCUUUACUUGUCCUGCUACUAUCACUUUCACUACUCUUGCCUCCAACUUCAACCAGAAGCACUGACUUUGGUAAGUGUUACCUAUGUAAUGUAAGCUAUAACAAAAAGGAAAAAUUAAAAAUAAAAAAACAACUAUCAUUGUACAGUAACCUUCUUCUAAGUUUUGGAUUUUAAUCUAUUGUUCAGUACUUUGUUUUCCGUUUUCGGGUUGAUUGCAGGAAAGAAGGUCAAUGAAGAGAUUCAGAGAAAUCUAAUAGAAGG